This is a long non-coding RNA of Frankliniella occidentalis (western flower thrips), 2791 nucleotides long. RefSeq lists it as uncharacterized. The record is from RefSeq and is a predicted model, not a curated record. The transcript is spliced from 2 exons. NCBI's taxonomy places the organism in Eukaryota, Metazoa, Arthropoda, Insecta, Thysanoptera, Thripidae.
UAUCAGAUUAGACUGUGCUUUCAGAGAAUGGUCGAGACCUCUCUGUGAGAGCAGACUAUCACAAGUAUGAAUUCAGUUUUGUUUCCGUUUCCAGUUACAAACAAUUGUUUGUUAUGGAGUAUUGUCCAAAUUAAACUUUUCUGUUAUGGAACUUUGGUGUCACCAUACACCGGAGUAGUGCCAACUCUGGAGGCACCAUCAUGCUGGUGGACUUUGUCAACACUCAUGACUGCUUUCCAAGUAUGCAACACUUAAAUAAAGAUAGGUUUACAGUCUUUUUCAAGUUGGGACUUGACAAUGGGAAGUCUAUGAGCAGGCGAAGAAACUAGGUGAUCAGGCUAGUCUUGCCUUGAGCUACAUUCCUUUUCCCUUAAGUCACAUUUAUUCUGUGAAUUUCUGUACCAGCUCCUGCUUUGUGCGAGGGGUUGAUGUUCAAGUUAGCAACUUGGUAAACAAACUACUUUUAUUUCCCUUCCUUAAUUGUCAAGCGCAAGAGUCACGAGAAGGAAAAUAACUUUUCCUAUCAUGUACCCAAAGAACUCGAGACGGUCCCUUACACUAUAAGCAAUAGUGUGCAGAAUGUUUUGCUGUGUCGUCUCAAUAGGACGAAUAGCAAGUUCUGUUUACAUUUUCUGUUGGUCAACUAAUGUCACUCAGUACCUGCCCAGUAACGGCUAACAAAGGCUUUCAUUUCCCUGUCUCCACUCCACUCAACGUGAGAGAGAUUUUACAGUCAACCCCACUGACAUGCAAUGUCAGAUAAAGGUUCCCACAGUUUGCCAAACAACCUGGAACGUUUCAUUACAAGUAAUGAGCAGUAUUACCAGUGUAUGGUAGUAAAGGUAUCACUUUGACACUUAAGUCUCUUUCAGGUAUGCACUGCAUACUGAGUAAAAAGCCUUUGUUCAUUUUCUAUUCAAUUAGAGUGGUGACACACUAGACUUCCCAGCACAGGGUGACAAGUACUUGAUUCCUAAAAUCACCAGGACCGAGGCUGUCUUUGUAUGACACUCAACGUUCAAUUAGAGUGUUCAAACACUGACUGUCCCAGACCAAGGUGUCCUUUUAAUUACAAAGAUCACCAAGCUCUAGUAUGUCAUUGUGACACUUUGUGAACAAUUCAGAACAAGGUAGAUGUUAUCUACUGCGUCCUUCAUGUCAAUCUUUACGAUGACAUAAGGUCACAUGCUUUCACCAGUGGGAUAGCUUUUUUGUGACUAAGCUCACCAGUUUUACGGUGACUUUCUUUUUUGAAGGUGGAACCCAACACAAGGGGACUCUCACAAUGAACACACUUAAUUUGUAUUGUGUCUCUUUUUAUUGUUUUUCAACAAUAGAACAAUGGUACGAGCAUGCUUCAGCAUUCAGUCGACAAAAUGACUUGUUUUGGCAUUGUGAUGGACUCACUUCAGACAUGUGCAACUUGACAGGAGCAAAAGUUUGUUUCCAAACAUUUCGAUUUAUCUGAUAAAACAUUAUGACCCAAUGAGAGUAUACUGCAGCGGAUCACUUCAGAGUGUUCCUGUGCAACUCAUCAUUCCAGUAACACUAACAUGUUUCUGGCCGUCACGUUUCAGAUAGAAUAUCUCAAUAACAGAACCAACAGGUUCUAGGGAAAAAGAGCCCUCGUAACUGCAGCAUGGAGCUGAUUGUCGUUACAUAUGAGAUGCAUUUGCACACAAUUUCAUGUCAAGCACUCAAACACUGUCAUUUCUGGUUCACUGUCUCUACUUUACGCACUGAUUAGAUUUAAUGCAAGCACACAGUUCACACAGGGGUCCACUAACGAGGCGUCUUUACAGCACACCUCACCGCCAAACACAUGUAACACAACAGAGAAAUUCACAGAGAUUAGGAUUGCCCUUCUCACACAAGAGUCGGUCAUUCGCUCCGAUUCGUGAUAUUUCAAUCACUCACACUCACCCUAUUUUGCCUUCCUUCCCUUUCCCGAGGAAACUUAAAUGGUCCGUGAAACGACUGCGCCAUGUUCUAGUUGCAUGUGGUUAUCCAGUGUGAGGAUGUAAAAGGAUUAAAUGAGAAGGUCCGAACUCCAGUAUGGUUGAUGAGAUAAGAGAGUCUUUAUUGGUUCAGUACGUCAGAGGUCAGUUCGCAUAGGCGCUGGUGGCGCUAUCCUACGGCAGGUAGCGUAAGCUUUACGUAGACAAUGCAGACGACGGCAGUGAUGCCAACUCACGUCUAGAACAUCUCCCCCCUUUUGGGAGACAAGUAUCUGUCUCUUAACAAGUUGGCUGCACUGACUUAACUAACAGCCUGUUGACAUGAGAAAUUGCAACUGCAAACAACUGGUAAACAAUUCAGUUUUUCUGCUAGUCAGACAAAGCCUGUGUUAGCAAUGGUUGUCUAAGUUUUUGUUGUACUAUUCAAUAUAAUACAGCUCCAACAAUUCGUCAGUUUGUUUACUAGUCUUUGAGACCUCACUGUUAACUGGAAAGUUAUUAGUGGGACUGACGGACAAUAGUUAUCUGGUGGUCUGGUGAUCUAUCCAAGAAGUGAUAGGAACUUUGGGGUUAUGCUGAACCUUUACACGAUUCUGAUAUGUUUUUACAUCAGUUGGUUUUCGGUGAACAGCAGAGUACAUGUGGUGUGCUUGACACUACAGUUUCACUUUGCUUUGGGUCAUAACCCACUACACCUACUUUAACUGUGUCUUAGCCUAAUGCCCUAACUUCGUCAGCGACACAGGUGGUUGUUUUCUUGUGCCAGAGAUAUACAUUUCUGCACUUGAUGUCAAAUGACUUUUGUUACAUAAAGCUCAAAAUGACAUCAUCCA